CUAAUACAUGCAAGUCGAGCGAACGGACGAGAAGCUUGCUUCUCUGAUGUUAGCGGCGGACGGGUGAGUAACACGUGGAUAACCUACCUAUAAGACUGGGAUAACUUCGGGAAACCGGAGCUAAUACCGGAUAAUAUUUUGAACCGCAUGGUUCAAAAGUGAAAGACGGUCUUGCUGUCACUUAUAGAUGGAUCCGCGCUGCAUUAGCUAGUUGGUAAGGUAACGGCUUACCAAGGCAACGAUGCAUAGCCGACCUGAGAGGGUGAUCGGCCACACUGGAACUGAGACACGGUCCAGACUCCUACGGGAGGCAGCAGUAGGGAAUCUUCCGCAAUGGGCGAAAGCCUGACGGAGCAACGCCGCGUGAGUGAUGAAGGUCUUCGGAUCGUAAAACUCUGUUAUUAGGGAAGAACAUAUGUGUAAGUAACUGUGCACAUCUUGACGGUACCUAAUCAGAAAGCCACGGCUAACUACGUGCCAGCAGCCGCGGUAAUACGUAGGUGGCAAGCGUUAUCCGGAAUUAUUGGGCGUAAAGCGCGCGUAGGCGGUUUUUUAAGUCUGAUGUGAAAGCCCACGGCUCAACCGUGGAGGGUCAUUGGAAACUGGAAAACUUGAGUGCAGAAGAGGAAAGUGGAAUUCCAUGUGUAGCGGUGAAAUGCGCAGAGAUAUGGAGGAACACCAGUGGCGAAGGCGACUUUCUGGUCUGUAACUGACGCUGAUGUGCGAAAGCGUGGGGAUCAAACAGGAUUAGAUACCCUGGUAGUCCACGCCGUAAACGAUGAGUGCUAAGUGUUAGGGGGUUUCCGCCCCUUAGUGCUGCAGCUAACGCAUUAAGCACUCCGCCUGGGGAGUACGACCGCAAGGUUGAAACUCAAAGGAAUUGACGGC
Molecule: ribosomal RNA, 888 nt
Filed under: uncultured bacterium
Lineage: Bacteria
Description: bacterial SSU rRNA
Rfam family: Bacterial small subunit ribosomal RNA
Source: RNAcentral